AAGAGCAAAUUUUCAAUUCGUCCUAAGUAACAUUUUGAUUUUAUCGAGAAAAUCGAUAUCAAAGUUUUGGUUUUUAUUUUCAAUUCCUAUUUAACAACCAAGACGAAAUCAAUAUAAUAAAUACUCGCAAACGACAUUAGAUAAAAGCAUUUAUUGCUUCUCAAUGCGAAAUAUGGAUAAAGUUCAAAGAAACAUUAGUUUUUUGCAUUAAAACAAUUCUACGUCGUUUAGUGUCGGAAAACAUAAAUAGGACAUUUGGUUAAGUCCUUCUGAAACAUCUCGGUUACUUUCGUCGGGUGCGUUACGUCGCGUUACGCGAAUUUAUGUUGCUUUCGUCGGUGUGUUUACGUCAUGUUGCCAGCUGUCAUGUUGGUUAAGUCAUGUUACUUACGUCGUUGUGGUGAUUGAUGUUGGCACUUAAGUCAAACGAAUUCGUCUUGCAAAAACAGCUGUUUCCCAUGCAAGUAUAGCGCCACAGGCAAAUUUAGUAGCAGCCAGGACCUGGAUUAGGAGCGGAGAUUGCCCAUAUCGAUGGGGGCCCGAGCAAAGCCCAAGUUUGAUUCGAUUGCUCCAUACCCGUGCCCAGCAGCAGGAGCAGCGCUAUCUUUUUUCAUACGGGAACCGAUUUUCUUAGAAACCCCACGUAUUUUUGGCGACCCUCACAAACAGCAGCGGUUUCGACAACAAGCACCAAAGAACGACGGACACGAACAGACGGAAGCCUUCGUUGCGAAAUUGUACCUAAAUGAUCGAUGCAUCGGCGUUUAUUAAGAAUGCUCAGCUGCAGGACGUCGUCGAGCAUUGUUAUACC
Aedes albopictus (Asian tiger mosquito) is the source of this 811-nucleotide long non-coding RNA. RefSeq lists it as uncharacterized. The record is from RefSeq and is a predicted model, not a curated record. NCBI's taxonomy places the organism in Eukaryota, Metazoa, Arthropoda, Insecta, Diptera, Culicidae. The transcript has 3 exons.